Molecule: long non-coding RNA, 473 nt
Organism: Lineus longissimus
Lineage: Eukaryota; Metazoa; Nemertea; Pilidiophora; Heteronemertea; Lineidae
Exons: 5
Source: RefSeq, a predicted model, not a curated record
CAAAUAAACUGCUGGAGUUCAUGUACUCACUCUCACUUCAGAAAUACUCCCACUCCCAGAAAUUCUCGAGAUACACGUGAGCAAUUUCACAACUAUUGACUUUCAACACCUCAGUGUCAAAAUCUGUCGUAUUUGGAAAUGAUGAAAUGGAGAACUGGCAUUGACACAGACGCCCGUCACCCUUUGAUGCAAUCACUUAGUCAGAGAGUUAAGGAGGUCGAGAUACCUGGUGUGCCAUCCACGCAUACCUGCCUAAUUCCCCAAAGGUGAACCACAUCAUGUGGAUGAAAAUACUUUCACUAUUAGGAAAUAGUGGGAGGAAUGAGGAUUGACUGAAUACACAAAUGAUGGACACUUUUAGGUGCGAUGUUUCAAUGCAGUCUGCAGAUGUUGGAGCUUCUGGACGGAUGCAUGAUCUUGCUCGAGACUUGUUCCCGAAUCGAACGACGUUUGCUGUCGUUCGUCACCAUUUU